Tursiops truncatus (common bottlenose dolphin) is the source of this 107-nucleotide small nuclear RNA. NCBI's taxonomy places the organism in Eukaryota, Metazoa, Chordata, Mammalia, Artiodactyla, Delphinidae. The record is from Ensembl.
GUGCUCGCUUCGGCACCACAUAUACUAAAAUUAGAACGAUACAGAGGAGAUUAGCAUGGCCCCCGUGCAAGGAUGACAUGCAAAUUCGCGAAGCAUUCCAUAUUUUU